Molecule: long non-coding RNA, 363 nt
Organism: Morone saxatilis (striped sea-bass)
Lineage: Eukaryota; Metazoa; Chordata; Actinopteri; Moronidae
Exons: 3
Source: RefSeq, a predicted model, not a curated record
GUCGUUAGCACUGCCGGCGCGCUCGUUCUGACGUCAUCAACAGUCGCCACAAGAAAGCGCAGUAGCGGCGGGAGUUUUCGGAAACAAACGAAGAGUUUUUUUCACAUUUGAAGAGAAACCUCCCGAGCUGCCUGUGGAUCUGUGUGUGACUGUGUUUAUCCACCAUGACUCAGAGAAAGCGGCUGUCACACACACAGAGCUCCUCUCAGAGCAGAAGGCAGUCUGGCAGCUUAGUGGCUCAGGAAGAAGACGAUGACACAACGUUCACUCAGCCGAGCACGUCGCAGGUGCAGAGAGGGCUGGAGAAGCUCACACCUGCACAGGUCGACCAGAAGGUAACGGAAAUAACACGGUGUUAUUCUG